AUGUUACUGGGAAAAACAGUUGGAGCUAAGCCAACGGCUGAGAGGCUUUUGGACUGGGCCAGACACAGUGGAAAUGUGAGCUGCAUAAAUACAGACAUCUUCAUUACAGAUUUCUAAUGGACUACUUCUGUUGAGUCUGUGGUAGAGUCUUCUGAACUCAUAUUGGACUGAUUAACCAUACCUGGAUUCAUGGUAUCCUCACCCCAACAUUGUGAUGUUAUUGCUCUUAAUCAAAAAUGUAGGAUGAAGACCAAGAUGUUGCCAUCAGCCAUUGCUGGCUGGGAACAUUGCUGAUGGCUGAAACCAAGUCUUUAUCUUCUUACCUUUUGAAGUUCACAAGGUGAAGAAAGCACUUGAUUUGCCUUAAAGCAAUUUGAAGAUCUCAAAGGACCACAGAAAUGUGUUAUUAAUUUAAAAAGUCAUUAUAUAUUAUAAUAAAAGGUAUUCAUUUUGAAGUGA
Molecule: long non-coding RNA, 459 nt
Organism: Monodelphis domestica (gray short-tailed opossum)
Lineage: Eukaryota; Metazoa; Chordata; Mammalia; Didelphimorphia; Didelphidae
Source: RefSeq, a predicted model, not a curated record